CCCAUAUACACUAUUUAAAAUAUGAAGAUCUAAAAUAUAAUAAAGCUUAAAAAUAAGAGAAUAAAAAUAUACAUCAUACAAACACUAGCAGUAACAACUGGUAUAAUUAUGUAAGUUAAACUUUGAAGCAAUUAGUAUCAUUAGAAAUUCUAUCACUCAGGAUUCUACUGAGAAGCAGAACUCAAUUUUUGAUUGAUAGACAGACAGACUGACACACAGACUUCAAGGAAUCAGUUUACAUGAGUGUGGGGGCUAGAAGGUCCAAAACCUGGAAGACAACUCAAAAACUAGGGACCUCUGGUAGGCACUUAUGUUGCAUUUCACAGGCAGAAUUUCUUUAGGAAAUCUAAAUUUUUGUUUGUAAGGCCUUUUAACUGCUUUAAUAUGUCAAACCCAAAUUAUUGAACUUAAUAUUUACUUAAAGCCUGCUAGUUGCAGAUGUUAACCACAUCUACAAAAUACCUUCACAGAAAUUUAGAUUAGUGUUUAAUUUAAUAUCUGAGUAUUACAGUCUAACCAGGCUGGCAUAAAACUAAUCAUCACAGAGAUAAACAAGGAUAUUUUAUAACAUAAAAAUUUCAAUUCGCCAGGAAGAUACAGUUCUAAAUUUCUGUACACUUUGAGCCAGGUCUGGUGGCAUGUACCUAAAGUCCUUAAUGCUCAGGAAGUUAAGGUAAGAAGAUCCCUUAAGCUCAGAGCUCAAAGUCAACCUGGGAAAUAUAGCAAGAACUCUUCUUAAAAACACGUUUUUGUUUUGUUUUGUUUUGUUUUGCUUCGUUUUGUUUUGUUUUUAUUAUGUUUAGAUAGUAGGUUUCCCCCAAAAGCUCCUGUGUGAGACAAUGCAACAAAUUUAGAGGUGAAAUGACCGGGUUAUAAAAGCCUUAAUCUAAUCAGAGCGUUAAUCCCUUUAUAGGGAUUAACUGGGUGGUAACUUUAAGCAGGUAGGGUGUGGCUGGAGAAGGUGGGUCCUUGGGGUUAUGCCUUUGGGGUUUACAUUUUGUUCUUGUUGAGCAGAGCAGUCUGUUGGCUUCUUAUCACAUCCUGAGCUAAGCUGCUUUCCUCUACCAUACCCUUCCACUGUGAUAGCCUACCUCAAGUAGAUAUCUCUAGCUACUUGGGAGACUGAGGCAAGAGGAUUCCCUAAAUUCAGCAGUUAGAGUUCAGCCUGAGCAAUAUAGCAGGAGUUGGUCUCAAGGAAAGAAGAAGAAGAAGAAAAAGAAGAAGAGGAAGAGGAAGCGGAAGAGGAAGAGGAAGAGGAGGAAGAAGAAAACACUACUUGGAAAAUUCUUGUAUGUUUGAAAAAGAAUAAAAAUUUAAAUGUGAUUCACUGGUUUAAGAAGACCUCAAAACAUAAAUUAGAGGGCUAGGGAUACAGAUUGGUGGUAGAGUGCUUGUCUAAUCCUAGCAGGUAUGAUGACCUGAGUUCAAUUCCUAAUAUCAUGUGCUUUGCUUUCUUUCCUGUCUAUAAAUGCUCAUUCCAUGUUACAGAACAACACUCUUCUGAACCUCUUCUAGCUCUGAAUAUUGUCUGAACCAUGAAUCAGUUUUUGCUUAAAUAAACUGUUAAAUUUGUUAUUUUUUUCUUUUAACAAUAUUAUACUAAUUAAUAUGGAACUUGAAACAUUUCAUUGCCUGAUCUGAUUCAAGUCAACUGAAUAAAUCUUAAAAGGUCAAGUGCCAGCAUCUAAAAAUAAAUUGCACUUAUAUACUACGAAAUAAGUAGAAAUGAAUUUUAGAGAAAUUAUCUUUUACAAAAACAUCAAAUAAAUUUAAUGAGCUAUUUUAUUGAGCUGUUUUUUAAGACUUUGAUAGUAAAUACUAACAAAAAUUUUAGAGAGUGGGAUUCAGUUAAUGACACACUUAAUGGGAAGUAUAUUACUGACAUUAUAUAUAUUUUUUGGAAAAAUAACCAAAGUAAUCUCAAAAAAUCUAAAAGAAAGAAAAUGAAUAAAGACAUUAAUAAAUGUAAACCCUGAAAAAACAAAAAAUUAUGCAAAUACCAAAUAUCAAUAAUGAACAUCACUAUAAUACCAUAACCGUUACAAAUAUAAUAUUCAAGUAAGAAUCAGCCACUUAACUAAUGUCACAAUUUUUUUUAAUUUUGUUAUAAAUGACAGUAGAAUGCAUUACAAUUCAUAUUACACAUAUAUAGCACAAUUUUUCAUAUCUCUGUACACAAAGUAGAGUCACACCAUUCGUGUCUUCAUCCAUGUACUUCAUAUAUGUGAUGUUAUCCAUCUCCUUCCACUAUCUUUCCUACCCCCAUGUUCCGAUGUCACAAAUUUUAACUAAAAAGAACUGAAAGGGGAUAUGGAGUAUAUAGAUUUUCCUUAAGAACUGUAUAAAUACAAAUCUAUGAUUCACCUUGAAUUGAUUUUAUUUUGUGUAGCUGAAGUCAAAUUUGAAGGUUUUUUUUUUUUUUUUACUUUUUGCUUUAUUGCUAUAUGAAUAUUCAGUUGUUCCAGCACCACUAUUUGUAAAGGCUUUUUUAUGUAGAUACUUUAGCUAGUCUAAGUCCUCUUCUGGAAACUUCAAGAACCUAAAAUCAAAUACCUAUUGGGGAAUUGACAUUACAUUAAAUCUAUGAAUCAAUUUGAAGAUAAUUCAUAUCUUUCCAAUAUUGAAUCAUAUAAUCUAUGAAUAUAAUAAUACUCCAUUAAUUCAAUUAUUAAAGUUCUAAAAUUUCUGUAUUUACUAUUGAAGUCUUAAAUAUAGUUCACUAAAACUGUUCACUAAAUUUAUUUGAUGCUAUCGUAAAUGGUAAUUUCUUUAAAAUUCAUUUCUACUUAUUUGGGAGUAUAUAAGUGCAAUUUAUUUUUAGAUGCUGGCACUUGACCUUUUAAGAUUUAUUCAGUUGUCCUGGUAAGCUUGCAUAUGCUAAGUAAGGACUCUGCUUCUAAGCUAUAUCCCUAGCUAUGGUUUGCAUAUUCUUUAGGGUUUUUUGCAUAUAGAAUGAUUCCACAUAUUAAAAGUACAGUUUUACUUCUUUCUUUUAUCUAUAUAUCUAUCACUUACCUAUUAUACAUUCAUCUAAUAUCCUCCAGUUACAGUGAUGUUUAGAAGUAAUAAGAGUACACAUUCUUGACUUAUUUUUAACCUUAGGGCCAAAGUGUUCAAAAAUUUAUGACUGGUCCCCAAUGCAACAACGUUCUGAGGUGGAGCUUUUAGGAAGUGAUUGGAUCAUGAAGGCUCUGACCUCAUCAGUGGAUUAUCAAACUAAUGGUGUUAUUGAGAGGUGGUGGAAAAUGGAUGAGGUAGGGAUUCAUUGGAGGAAGCAGGUCAUGUGUCAUGCCCUCAAAGUACUAUUAUAUCUUGUCUAUGACCUCUUUCUCUCUUCCUCUCUGUUCUACCUACUAUGAGGAAAUCAUAUCUGUUCCACUUCAUCCUUUCUGCCAUGGUGUCUGGUCUUACCACAGGCCCACAGCAAUGGAGCCAGUUGACCAUGGACUAAAAUCAUUGAAACUGUGAGUCAAGAAUAAAUCAUUCCUCCUUUUCUGUUGUUUACACCAGGUAUUUUGGUUAUAGAGACAAACAGCUGACCAACAUAGGAAAUUGGCACUAAGAGGUAUACUAUACCUGUCCAUGAGGUUUGUUUCAGAAACUGUUUUGUGGGAAGAGUUUGAAAAGGUUUAGAAACAUAGGUUAUAGAGGCCAUAGAAUGUUGUAAAGAGGAGCUUAAUGGAACAUUCUGAUAUGAACUUAGAAGACCAGAAUGAUGAUAGAGCUGUGGUAAAUAAAGACUGUGAUCAUGAGGUUUCAGAUCGGAGUGAGGAUCUAUUAAGAUUUGAACCAUACAUGUUAUAUUCUGGCAUACAAUUGGUUCUAUAUUUUUUUCAUGUGCUGAGACAUUGUGUAAGAAUGAAUUUAAAGUGAUUAUCUGGCAGAGGAAAUUUCAGGCAUUUAGGCUUUUUUAGAAAACAUAUUUUUAGUUAUAGAUGGACACAAUACCUUUAUUUUAUUUAUUUAAUUUUAUGUGGUGCUGAGGAUCGAACCCAGCGCCUCAUACUUGCAAGGCCAGUGCGUUGCCACUGAGCACAGUCCCAGGCUUUUAUUCGGGUUUACUGUGAUAAUCAGAAACAACAAUAAGGGCAAAAAGAUGUUAAAAAUUUGAAUUUUGGACAGAAAAGUGCAUGUAAAAUUGGUGCCAAGGAAGAUCCAGUUGCUGAAGAGAUUAGUGCCACUGAAGAAAAGCUAAAUAUUUUUCACAGGGACAGUAGGAAAGACUACUAAAGGGCAUCUCAGGAAUUGACCAGACCCCACCCAUCACACGCUCAAUAGUGUAAAAGUGUAAAUUCAUUUCAAAGAUUUUGCUUUGAGAAAAGAGUGCCAGGGCUUCCUUCUUGCACAGGGCCACCUAGGAAGUUGUUGCCCCAAGAUUUGUUUAAUGGUACGCAGCCAUCCAGGUACUUCACGGCCACUACAACCAUGGUCCAAGUGGGUUCCACUACUGUUCCAACUGGUGGAAGACCUUGACCUCAUCCAUGUGGUGCCGGUUUUGCAGACUUGAAGAAGGUAAGCAUUUCAGGGUUCCACUGGAAUUUUAAAAGUAACUGUGGAAGUUCAGGCAGUAUGUGACAGCAAUGGAAUCCCUGUGGGCAACCCCUGAGAGGAUGGCACAUGAAGUUGUGAGAAUAAAGCCAAAGCUGCAAUGGAGACACCAGGAAGAUGCCAGUGGCAUGGAACAUCUGUCAAGGAAACCUUUAGGCAGCAAGUAGAACCAGCUCAAGAGAGAGGCCAGGUGGAUUAUAACUGGUAAAAAAUGGAGUCAGCUUCCCACUCUCUUGAAUCUAGGUUUUUCUCAAUACUUUUUGUUCAAUAGAGUAUGGCAGACAUAAUAGUUCGUACUUGCAAAGACAGACUGUAAGAAGUUUCACAGCUCAUAUUUUAGAUUUUCAAACCUGGUCUUAGAUCCUCACUGUGAGAAAUUCUAACUGGGUGAAAAGAUUGAGAGAGAAAUAAAUUCUGGAUCCUAGUUCUCUGAGAACCCAAAGCCAUGUGUAGAAUCGCAAGAGGAUGAGACUCCAUGAAAAUUGCUUUGAUUAAUGAAAUGUUAACAGUUGUUGCCUUAUUUUGUUUGUUCUUAAAUUUAUUUUAUUUGCUGAGAUAAAAUUUACAUGACCUCAAAUUCACCAUUUAAGCCAUCUUAAAGUGUCUAACUCAAUUGCAUUUAGUCCAUUGUUACACAAUCAACACCAUCUAAUUUCAGAACAUUUUCAUUACACCAAGAAAACAAACAAGAUGUACCCUAUUCAAUAAAGCAGUCAUUACUCAUUUCCUUCUUCUCCCAAUCCUGAAAAUACUUUCAGUAUCUAUUUGUUUCAUGGACAUUUCAUAUAAACGGGGUUAUACCACAUGCAGCCUUUUGCGUCUGGUUUCUUUCAUUUAGUAUGUGUUAUGGUUUGGGUGUGAGAUGUCCCCCAAAAGUUCACAUGUGAGAUGAUGCAAGAAAGUUCCAGGGAGAAAUGAUUGGGUCCUAAGAAUCUUAACCCUGAUAGGGAGUGGCUGAAGGAAGUGGGAAUUGGGACGUGGCUUUGAGUUUACAUUUGUAUCCAUCUCUCUGCUUCUUGAUCACCAUGAUGUGAGCUGCUUCCCUCUACCCAUACUCCGCCAUGAUGCUCAGCCUCAUCUCAAGCCCCAAGAAAUGGAGCCAGCCUUCUAUGGACUAAGACCUCUAAAACUCUGAGCCCUCAAAUAAACCUUUUCUCUUCUACAAUUGUGCUGGUUGAAUCUUUAAGUCACAACAGUGAAAAAAGCUGACUAAAACAGCAUGUUUCUGAAAAAUCAUCCAUGUUUUAACAUGUAUCAGCACUUUCUCUCAUUGUAGAUGAAAAAUAUUCUAUUGUGUGGAUAUACCGAAUUUGCUCUUUUAUCAGCUCAUGGGCAUUUGGAUUGUUUCUACUUGGCUACUGUGAACAGUACGGCUAUAAACAUUCAUAUACGCGUUUGUUUGUUUGUUUGUUUUUAACGGAGCAUUUUCUACACUUUCUUUGGUAUAAAGUUAGAGGUAUAAUUUCUGGGUCAUGUGGCAAUUCAAUGUUUCCCUUUUAGAAUAAUUGCCAGACAAUUUCCAUGGCAUCCACACCAUUUUACAUUCCCACCAACAAUGAUUACUUCACAUACAUGGAACAUUUUGUUAGUUUCUGGUUUUGUUUUUUCUUUAAAAUACUAUUAUAAGCAUUGUACUGAUAUUUCAUUGUGUUUUUAAAAUUAAAUUUACUUUAGCUGUUACAUGAAAUGUAACUACAUAAAACUUACAUAUUAAUGGGAUACCAUUGUAGUAUAUUUGAGUGAGGUGAAAAAUAUCUAGAUUUUCAAACUCUCAUCAUUCCUUCAUGGUGAAAACAUUCAAAAAUUUUCUAGCUUUUUGACAGUAAAUAACUGUUAUCUACAGACAACCUACUGUUCAGAAAUUCAUACUCCUAUCUAACUAUAACUUUGUACCCAUUAAUCAUUUCUGGAGGAAGAGAUGGGGAAAGGUUGAUAGGAAAAGAUUAUCAGAAUUUAUUUUAUUUAGUUGUACUGUCUUUUCCUUUCAGUUGACACAUGAAUGUACAUAUUUGGGGUGGUGGUACAAUGAUAUUUCUAUUCAUGUAUAAAUUGUAUAAUGAUCAAAUCAGGUAAUUACCUUAAGCAUCUAUCUUUUCUUUGAGAUGAGAACAUUCAAAUUCUGUCUUGUAUCUUCUCUGAAAUACUCAUUACAUUAUUGUUAGCUGUAAUUAUCCUACUGUGCAAAUAGAACAUUGAAACUUAAUUCUACCAUUUGUUACUUUGCAUCCAUUGACCAUCCUCUCCCUAUCUCUCUUCCCCAGCGCCCUCCUAGUCUACACUAACCUCUCUUUUCAAAUGUGCUUUUGUAAUUGAGUGUGCCCUCCUCUAUUUUUAUCAUUAUCUAAGGUGAGCAGCUGCCAUAUCUCUAACCCGGAACUCUUCCUGACAUAAGACCUUAGGCCGAAAGCUGCUCUGACUGACUCAGGUCUAAAGUAGGCAUUAGAGUCACCCACCCAACCACUGUCAACCUCUAGAAAUAAAUCAUUGUUGAAUGUUUUGAGUUGUAUAGUUUUGUUCUGUAGCAUUAUCUUUUACCAAUUGCCCCAAUAAUUUCAUGGCUUUCUGUAUUUUCAAUAAAAAUACAUGGAAUUGUUUACUAAUAUGUGUUAAUUAGAAUACUUAUGGUAUCAGUAUCUCUGUAAGCUCUGUACUGGAAGCUAUCCAAAUUUCCAUGAUAGGUAAUUGGUUAAAUAAAUCGAUGAGAAAAAGGUGGUGAAUAGAGCUGGGCCUGAUAACCCAGGCCUUUAAUCCCAGCUACUUAGGAGGCUGAGGUAGGAGGAUGACAAGUUUAAGGUCUGACUGGACAACCUGGUGAGACCUGGUCUCAAGAUAAAAUGUUAUAUUAAGUAAGUAAACAAAUAAAUAAAUGUGGCUAAGUGUAUAGCUCAGCGGCAGAGCAUUUGUCUAACACGUACAAGGCACACCCACAUACACACAAAGCCAAAUAAAAAGGGCUAGGCACAUAGUAGUCCCAUUUGUAAAAGUCCAAACAAGUGAGCCUACAGUGGAACCAUGGCAGGUGAUAAUGUUCUAUUUCUAUUCCUAGGUUAUAUUUUCACAGAUAAGUUUAUAAAAACUGACAUACACUAUGAUAGGUACACUUAUGAUAGGUGUACUUUUCUGUAUGUAUUUUACAUUCUAAGAAAAAUAUUUUGAAAUAUUUGAAAAUGACCAAAUGGUAAUGUGCAGAUGUAGGAAUGUUAAAAGAUGCUUCCUGGAGAAUUAUUAUACAAUCAUUUUGCAAAUAAUCUUGGAAGUGAUUUGUAAAUGUCUGAAAAAACUGAAGAUAUUCUUGUUCAAAAACCUGAGAGUCCCUUUAAUGGUAACAAACUAUAGGUAUUUCUUUUCAUACAUUUUGACCACAGUGAUAAGUGGAUACAUUUUACAAUGGGAACACAUCCUAACAUCAAUAAAGAAAAAUCAUUACUAAACUAUAUUCACUUUUGAAUGCAUGGUGCACCUUGGAAUUUCCUGUUCUAUUCUUCUAUCCUAUUGUAUCCUUUCUAUGCUAUUCUAUUCCAUUCCAUUCUUUCUAUUCAUUUAUAUUCUAAAAAUGUGUGUCCCAAUAAACUCUAUCAACUUUACAAUUUAUUAAUGUGUUUCAAGCUUAGAAUUGAUCAUAAUUCAUAUGUUGGACAAUAUUGCCAAAGAGGACUUCUCACAGAUGUGUAUAAUAAACACACACAUGCACACACACACAUAUACCUACAUGUACAUACACUGGAGCAUUUUCAUAAGAACAAAAAAAUAGAAACUACAUAAAUGUUCGUCUAUUAUAUGGACUAUAAUAUUUUCAUAUAAAGAAAUAUUAUUAAAUAAUAAAAACAAUUAUUAACCAUAUUAUUCUUUCAAACUUAUACAGCUGACAUAAAGAAGGAAAUCCUGGCAUUUUCUGAUAAAUGGAUGGAACUGGACAAGACCAUGCUAAGUAAAAUUAGAUUCAUAAAAUCAAGGGUCACAUGUUCUCUCUCAGAUGUAGAAGGAAGAGCAUAGUAAUGGAGAAAAAGGGGGUUCAGAUAUCAUAAAGACAGAGGAAAGAUCAGCAGAGCAGAAGGAGAUUGAGGAGGAGGAAGGAGGGAAGGGAAAGAGGAGAAAAUGCAGAAUGAAUUUGGCAAGAUUACUCUAUGUGCAUGAGUAAAGUAGUGAAUUCCAACUUUGUGUGUAUCUAUGAAGCACCAGUUAAAAAUGUAUGAAUUAGUGGAAGAUAGACCAAUAGAGUAGAAGGGGAAUAGGAGGAGGGAAGAAGGGGAAGAAAGAAGGAGGGGCAAUGAGGAUUGAAAUGGAGUAAAUUAAAUUCUAUGCAUGUAUGAUUAUGUCAAAAUGAAC
RNAcentral lists this long non-coding RNA (8874 nucleotides) under Marmota monax (woodchuck). Lineage: Eukaryota; Metazoa; Chordata; Mammalia; Rodentia; Sciuridae. The record is from RNAcentral.